Ipomoea nil (Japanese morning glory) is the source of this 528-nucleotide long non-coding RNA. RefSeq lists it as uncharacterized. The transcript is spliced from 2 exons. The record is from RefSeq and is a predicted model, not a curated record. Lineage: Eukaryota; Viridiplantae; Streptophyta; Magnoliopsida; Solanales; Convolvulaceae.
UCUUCAUCUUCACGCCACCUUCCCCUAUCUCUCUCUCUCACCAACAUUAUCCUCCAUCUUUCUAUUCAAGAAUCCAAGACCAAGACUUCAUCUUUUUAUCAUUCAAAGCUAGGAAAUGGUAUGGAGUAGUCAACUUAUGAGAGCGCGAUAGUUGGAGUCUACUCUCCACCUUUAGCUAGUUCCUUUAGUUAGUUUGUUGUUUGGCCUAUGAGUCCUAUGAUAGUUUAUGAUGCGUAAACAGUUUAAGACUAGUUUCCUAUUUAGUAUGACUUUUGUUUGUUGAGGAUUUGACUAGCAUGUGCAUUUAGGUUGUGAUAGCCUAGAUGUGGCAUAGCAUUCCCGUUGAAUUGAUUUAGCUUCCGCACUUUAUUUAUAGCAGUUAGACUUUGUUUACCUAUCUUUGCCCAGUUAAUGCUUUAAGUUGUGUUUAGGAUCGGGGGUGUUACACUAGUUGUAUAAGUUUUUGUGUCAUUGUUCUUACUUUUGCUAAGUAAAUUGAUUUUGAUUUGGGCUUGUGCCCCGUGGAUU